AGUGAACGCUGGCGGUAGGCCUAACACAUGCAAGUCGAACGGCAGCACAGUAAGAGCUUGCUCUUACGGGUGGCGAGUGGCGGACGGGUGAGGAAUACAUCGGAAUCUACUUUUUCGUGGGGGAUAACGUAGGGAAACUUACGCUAAUACCGCAUACGACCUACGGGUGAAAGCAGGGGAUCUUCGGACCUUGCGCGAUUGAAUGAGCCGAUGUCGGAUUAGCUAGUUGGCGGGGUAAAGGCCCACCAAGGCGACGAUCCGUAGCUGGUCUGAGAGGAUGAUCGGCCACACUGGAACUGAGACACGGUCCAGACUCCUACGGGAGGCAGCAGUGGGGAAUAUUGGACAAUGGGCGCAAGCAUGAUCCAGCCAUACCGCGUGGGUGAAGAAGGCCUUCGGGUUGUAAAGCCCUUUUGUUGGGAAAGAAAAGCAGCAGGUUAAUACCCCGCUGUUCUGACGGUACCCAAAGAAUAAGCACCGGCUAACUUCGUG
RNAcentral lists this ribosomal RNA (492 nucleotides) under uncultured bacterium. RNAcentral's name for it is "partial 16S ribosomal RNA". It matches the Rfam family "Bacterial small subunit ribosomal RNA", at positions 29 to 507 of the family's 1533-position model. The record is from RNAcentral.